UGUCAGAAGUGGUAUUCGAACCCACACCUACAAGAGUAGACUGACACCUGAAUGCCUUAGACCACUCGGCAAGCCUGAC
Non-coding RNA from Cordylochernes scorpioides, 79 nucleotides. NCBI's taxonomy places the organism in Eukaryota, Metazoa, Arthropoda, Arachnida, Pseudoscorpiones, Chernetidae. The record is from the annotation of a GenBank genome assembly.